AUUGAACGCUGGCGGAAUGCUUUACACAUGCAAGUCGAACGGCAGCACGGGGCAACCUGGUGGCGAGUGGCGAACGGGUGAGUAAUACAUCGGAACGUGCCCAAUCGUGGGGAUAACGUAGCGAAAGUUACGCUAAUACCGCAUACGAUCUACGGAUGAAAGCGGGGGAUCGCAAGACCUCGCGCGAAUGGAGCGGCCGAUGUCAGAUUAGGUAGUUGGUGGGGUAAAGGCUCACCAAGCCAACGAUCUGUAGCUGGUCUGAGAGGACGACCAGCCACACUGGAACUGAGACACGGUCCAGACUCCUACGGGAGGCAGCAGUGGGGAAUUUUGGACAAUGGGCGCAAGCCUGAUCCAGCCAUUCCGCGUGCAGGAUGAAGGCCUUCGG
RNAcentral lists this ribosomal RNA (388 nucleotides) under uncultured bacterium. RNAcentral describes it as "bacterial SSU rRNA". It matches the Rfam family "Bacterial small subunit ribosomal RNA", at positions 30 to 421 of the family's 1533-position model. The record is from RNAcentral.